RNAcentral lists this ribosomal RNA (492 nucleotides) under uncultured bacterium. RNAcentral's name for it is "partial 16S ribosomal RNA". It matches the Rfam family "Bacterial small subunit ribosomal RNA", at positions 29 to 507 of the family's 1533-position model. The record is from RNAcentral.
AGUGAACGCUGGCGGUAGGCCUAACACAUGCAAGUCGAACGGCAGCACAGUAAGAGCUUGCUCUUACGGGUGGCGAGUGGCGGACGGGUGAGGAAUACAUCGGAAUCUACUUUUUCUUGGGGGAUAACGUAGGGAAACUUACGCUAAUACCGCAUACGACCUACGGGUGAAAUCAGGGGAUCUUCGGACCUUGCGCGAUUGAAUGAGCCGAUGUCGGAUUAGCUAGUUGGCGGGGUAAAGGCCCACCAAGGCGACGAUCCGUAGCUGGUCUGAGAGGAUGAUCAGCCACACUGGAACUGAGACACGGUCCAGACUCCUACGGGAGGCAGCAGUGGGGAAUAUUGGACAAUGGGCGCAAGCCUGAUCCAGCCAUACCGCGUGGGUGAAGAAGGCCUUCGGGUUGUAAAGCCCUUUUGUUGGGAAAGAAAAGCAGCAGGUUAAUCCCCCGCUGUUCUGACGGUACCCAAAGAAUAAGCACCGGCUAACUUCGUG